Ursus maritimus (polar bear) is the source of this 1590-nucleotide long non-coding RNA. Lineage: Eukaryota; Metazoa; Chordata; Mammalia; Carnivora; Ursidae. The record is from Ensembl.
UGGGGUAGAGCAUAUGGAGGCAUUUGGUUCUCAGGCAUGAGCUGAACGCCCCGCUGGGCCUCCCGCGGUAAUAGGGCUAUAAUGUGUGCGCUGUGAUGAGAUUUUAUCUAGUCUUGUCUUUUUGUGUCUUUUCUUUUCUUUUCUCUUCUUUUUUUUUUAGAAUGUGGACAAUGGGAAUUGUGCAGUGGCAGUGGGAUACACCUCCUGGAGCAAUAUGCAAUCUCUCUCUCGCUCUUUCCAUCUCUCCCUCUCCCUCUCUGCAUCUCUCUGUCUGUGUCUGUCUCUCCCUGUCUCCCACACAAAAUCACACACUCACAAUCACACCACACAGAGCUGCAAAAGACACCCCAACCCCAAGCUUCAUGCACACACACCCACACCACACACAGGGAAUACAAUGGCUUCCUAGGACUGUAGACACAUGGACACACUUUUUCACCUGGGAAAUCUCUGGUGCCCCACACCCCCACAACCCAAUCAGGGCGGCUUGCCAGACUGAGGAUUGCAAGGAUGCCCCACCUGCAUUAACAUCUAGAGUUUUAUCUCAGGAAGAGGCUGAUUCCAGAAUAUGUACCGGUCUCGCUGGUUGAUGGUGUCACCUGCAGGUACAGAAGAGAGGACACAGUGAGGCUCAGGUCAUGCUACACAAUGUCUGUAUGCAUGAGCUUUAUUUCCCUCAAGGACUUUAGGAACCCAGAUGGAACACAGUGGUUGAGUCCAACGACCCCAAAGUAAGUGAACUGGAUGCCUUAGGAAGUUGUUUUUCCUGGGGGACAUGUCUGUCCAGUCCAUUCAGGACGGUGACUACAAAAUGCUUCAUCCAAGCAGGAGAAAGUGUUACUGAGGGACAGGAUCCUACCACAGCGUUUAGAACCAUGUUUGGUGUCGCCAAUGGUAAACGACCUCUCGAAUCAGCUAACAGUUGGCAGAGACAACCACUCAAUGCUCUCCCAAAAAGGAAAAUUGUAUGAGAUCUACAUGUAUAAUCUCAAAUAUACAUUGUCUGAUUUUCAUCUGAGUUUGAUUGGAAAGAAACCAAGAAAGCAACAUCUGUUCCUGGGACAAAGAACUUCUAGCUCUCCAUGGCGAGAGGUGUGCCUCCGGCGCUGUCUCCUUUGAUGGGAUCCAGGGCUUCCUCCAAGGCAUCUAGGACACAGAGUACCCGUCAGCACAUUCCUCUUGUUGCUCAAGAAUAUUCAUGGAAUGUUGCUUGAUAUGGACACGAGGCUGGGGUGUAUGGAGCCAGCUGGUUUCCAAGCAUGGACUGAAGUGCCCCUGCUGGGCCACCCACCGCAGGAAGGCUCGAAAGUGUGCAUUGUGAUAACAUGGCUUUGGAGAAGGGUGAUAUCAUGCAGUAUGUGACAUGUCUCCUGGAGAAACACCUUUCUCUCUCUCUCUCUCUGUCUCUCUCUCUAUGUUUCUGUCUUCUCUCUCUCUGUCUCUGUCUUUGUCUCUCUCUCGCUCUCUCUCUCUCACACACACACUCACAAUCACACUACACAAGACACCUAACCCCCAAGCCUCAUGCACACACACCCACACCACCCAGGGGGAGUGCAUUGGUUUCCUAGGACUGGAGACACAUGCACA